This 82-nucleotide transfer RNA is filed under the name Ovis aries (sheep). It matches the Rfam family "tRNA". Rfam says of the family: Transfer RNA (tRNA) molecules are approximately 80 nucleotides in length. Their secondary structure includes four short double-helical elements and three loops (D, anti-codon, and T loops). Lineage: Eukaryota; Metazoa; Chordata; Mammalia; Artiodactyla; Bovidae. The record is from Rfam by way of RNAcentral.
GACGAGGUGGCCGAGUGGUCACAGGGAUGGAGUGCUAAUCCACUGUGCUCUGCAUGUGUGGGUUCGAACCCCAUCCUCCUCC